CACGGGGGGCCUACGGGAGGAGCAGUGGGGAAUAUUGGGCAAUGGGCGCAAGCCUGACCCAGCCACGCCGCGUGGGUGAUGAAGGCCUUCGGGUCGUAAAGCCCUGUGGGGAGGGACGAAUCAGCCUCUGGCUAACAUCCGGGGGCCUUGACGGUACCUCCUUAGCAAGCACCGGCCAACUCCGUGCCAGCAGCCGCGGUAAUA
RNAcentral lists this ribosomal RNA (204 nucleotides) under uncultured bacterium. RNAcentral's name for it is "partial 16S ribosomal RNA". It matches the Rfam family "Bacterial small subunit ribosomal RNA", at positions 325 to 525 of the family's 1533-position model. The record is from RNAcentral.